AGACUUACCUGGCGGGGAGACACCAUGAUCAUGAAGGUGCUUCUCCCAGGACCAGGCCAACCCAUUGCACUGCGGGUUGUGCUGCCGCCUGUGGUGCCGAGUUUGUGUUGGUGGCAACUGCUCGCACUCUCCC
Small nuclear RNA from Callorhinchus milii (elephant shark), 133 nucleotides. Its record names the gene U1. It matches the Rfam family "U1 spliceosomal RNA". From Rfam's summary of the family: U1 is a small nuclear RNA (snRNA) component of the spliceosome (involved in pre-mRNA splicing). NCBI's taxonomy places the organism in Eukaryota, Metazoa, Chordata, Chondrichthyes, Chimaeriformes, Callorhinchidae. The record is from Ensembl.